CCCUUAGAUGUUCGGGGCCGCACGCGCGCUACGCUGAAGGAAUCAGCACGUCUUUCUCCUUGUCCGAAAGGACUGGGUAACCCGCUGAACCUCCUUCGUGCUAGGGAUUGGGGCUUGUAAUUCUUCCCCAUGAACGAGGAAUUCCCAGUAAGCGCGAGUCAUAAGCUCGCGUUGAUUACGUCCCUGCCCUUUGUACACACCGCCCGUCGCUACUACCGAUUGGAUGGUUUAGUGAGAUCCUCGGAUUGGUCCCGGCGCGGCCUCUGGUCGUGCCGGAGUGCCGAAAAGAAUGUCGAACUUGAUCAUCUAGAGGAAGUAAAAGUCGUAACA
RNAcentral lists this ribosomal RNA (330 nucleotides) under uncultured eukaryote. RNAcentral describes it as "partial 18S ribosomal RNA". It matches the Rfam family "Eukaryotic small subunit ribosomal RNA", at positions 1470 to 1796 of the family's 1831-position model. The record is from RNAcentral.